Molecule: transfer RNA, 69 nt
Filed under: Marmota monax (woodchuck)
Lineage: Eukaryota; Metazoa; Chordata; Mammalia; Rodentia; Sciuridae
Description: tRNA.Ala
Source: RNAcentral
GUUGUGUGCUCCGUGGUAGAGCACUUGCCUAGCAUGUGUGAGGCACUGGGUUCAAUUCUCAGCAUCACA